AGUAACACAUGAUCAACUUACCCUAUUGAGAAAGAUAACCUCGGGAAACUGAGGAUAAUAUUUCAUAGUUGAAUUGGCUUGGAAAAGUUUUUCAACAAAAGGGAUAGGGAAAAUGGUCUCUAUCCGCUAUAGGAUAGGAUCGUGUUCGAUUAUGGUAGUUGGUGAGGUAAAGGCUCACCAAGCCGAUAAUCGAUAGGGGCCGUGAGAGCGGGAGCCCCGAGAUGGGUACUGAGACAACGACCCAGGCCUUACGAGGCGCAGCAGGUACGAAACCUCCACAAUACACGAAAGUGUGAUGGGGUUACCCAAAGUGUUCAUUAUUGAACUGUGGUAGGAGAGUAAUGUCCCCUACUAGAAAGGAGAGGGCAAGGCUGGUGCCAGCCGCCGCGGUAAAACCAGCUCUUCAAGUGGUCGGGAUAAUUAUUGGGCUUAAAGUGUCCGUAGCCGGUUUAGUAAGUUCCUGGUAAAAUCGGGUAGCUUAACUAUCUGUAUGCUAGGAAUACUACUAUACUAGAGGGCGGGAGAGGUCUGAGGUACUACAGGGGUAGGGGUGAAAUCUU
This 560-nucleotide ribosomal RNA is filed under the name uncultured archaeon. RNAcentral's name for it is "bacterial SSU rRNA". It matches the Rfam family "Archaeal small subunit ribosomal RNA", at positions 92 to 641 of the family's 1478-position model. The record is from RNAcentral.